AACGGCGAGUGAAGCGGCAAGAGCUCAAAUUUGAAAUCUGGCCUCCUCCCGGGGGUCCGAGUUGUAAUUUGCAGAGGAUGCUUCGGGUGCGGCCCCCGUCUAAGUUCCUUGGAACAGGACGUCAGAGAGGGUGAGAAUCCCGUCUUGGGCGGGCGGCCCGCGCCCGUGUGAAGCUCCUUCGACGAGUCGAGUUGUUUGGGAAUGCAGCUCUAAGCGGGUGGUAAAUUUCAUCUAAAGCUAAAUACUGGCCGGAGACCGAUAGCGCACAAGUAGAGUGAUCGAAAGGUUAAAAGCACCUUGAAAAGGGAGUUAAACAGCACGUGAAAUUGUUGAAAGGGAAGCGCUUGCGGCCAGACUCGGGGGCGGGGUUCAGCGGGCGCUCGUCGCCCGUGCACUCCCCGCGCCCCGGGCCAGCAUCAGUUUCGACGGCCGGUCAAAGGCCCCCGGAAUGUGUCGUCUCUAGGGACGUCUUAUAGCCGGGGGUGCAAUGCGGCCCGUCGGGACUGAGGAACGCGCUCCGGCUCGGAUGCUGGCGUAAUGGCCGUAAGCGGCCCGUCUUGAAACACGGACCAAGGAGUCUAACAUCCACGCGAGUGUUCGGGUGUCAAACCCGUGCGCGCAGUGAAAGCGAACGGAGGUGGGAGCCUUUUGGGCGCACCAUCGACCGAUCCUGAAGUCUUCGGAUGGAUUUGAGUAGGAGCGUGGCCGUUGGGACCCGAAAGAUGGUGAACUAUGCCUGAAUUGGGUGAAGCCWKWGGAAMYUCUGGUGGAGGCUCGCAGCGGUUCUGACGUGCAAAUCGAUCGUCAAAUUU
Molecule: ribosomal RNA, 812 nt
Filed under: Trichophyton benhamiae
Lineage: Eukaryota; Fungi; Ascomycota; Eurotiomycetes; Onygenales; Arthrodermataceae
Description: eukaryotic LSU rRNA
Rfam family: Eukaryotic large subunit ribosomal RNA
Source: RNAcentral